CUCAGGAGCUAGGUGAAUGGGUUUAAACAUUUGCACUGAGAGGCAAAAUGGCCACAUUUAACUGGGAUAUGGCAUUCUUCUAGGAAUACUUGAUUAGCAAAGGAAGAAUGCCUUAAGUAAGUAUGUGCACCACUCCAGUAAACACACUGCACAUGCAGUUCCUCCCAAGCGCUGGCAGGCUGCUGCAUGUACAGAUUGCCAACGUGUAAAACCCCAAGGCAAAGGCCAAGCUGUGCACUUGUCUCCGGUUAUCCACUUGGCCCUCUUCCGACGGAAUUCUUUCUUCUGAGGAUGCAAGAACUGAGGUUGCUGCAGACCCGUACCGAUUCACAACUGCUAACAGGUUCUCAACACCAUACCCGCUUGUCACCUUGGGAAAGUGAGAGAGCUGUUCACAGCAGUGGUCUAAGAAAUGCUGACUGAAAUUAAACUUCAAGUACAUUUUACAGCUCUUUUUUUAUUUGAUGUGCUUGGAGACUGUCAGAGAGGCCAAAAAGGUAAAAGUUCAUUAUCUUUUGAAUAAAAACUCCUUAAUUAUUAAAGAAAGUGAACACCACCUAGAAAUUUAUGGCAAGAGAGAGAAAAAGAAAAAAAUUAGAACUCUAAAUAGAAGAAUCUAACCUGGGGUUUUAAUUUGAAAGCAACAAAUGACAGGCCAGCAUUUUCAAUUAGCAAAUAAUUUUAUUACAAUAAUUUUUCCCUUAUACUAUUUGUUUUGGUUGUUCUUACUUGACUGGGAAACACGAACCUAACAAUUAUAUAAAAAUUAAGAACACCUGAAAAUAUACACUCCUAUUUCACAAGCAGAUUUGAGAAUUUUGUACAUAUAGGAUUUUAAAACAUAUUAUAUAGUUGGACGUGGUAGCUCAUGCCUGUGAUCCCAACACUUUGGGUGGAUAAGGUGGGUGACUCACCUGAGGUCAGAAGUUUGAGACGAGCCAACGUGGUGAAAUCCCAUCUCUACUAAAAAUACAAAAAUUAGCCAGGCCUGAUGACAGGUCCCAAUAGAUUUAGCUACUCUGGAGGCUGAGGCAGGAGAAUUGCUUGAAUCAGAGGUGGAGGUUGCAGUGCGCUGAGAUUAUGCCAUUGCACUCCAGGCUGGGCAAUAAGAAAGGAACUCUGUCUAUAUAUAUAUGUAUAUGUGUGUGUGUGCACGUGUGUGUAUAUAUAUAUACACACACGUGCGCACACAUUGCAUAGAAGCUAAUCUAACUUGUAUAGCUUCUCAUUGAAUAUUCUUCAUAUUUUUGCCCAAUUUAUGUCCCAUUUAAAAACAAAAAUUUUUAAAAUCCUUUGAGGUUGCCAUACAGAUUUAUAAUUUGAGUUUACACAUGUUAGAAAGUGAUUGUUUUUUUUUAUUUGUUUUGUUUUGGUUUGAUGGCCAGUCAUGCAGAGUAUUCUGUGUACGAAAUACCUCUUAUAAAUUGAGGCUUACUGGCCGGGCGCGGUGGCUCAAGCCUGUAAUCCCAGCACUUUGGGAGGCCGAGGCGGGUGGAUCACGAGGUCAGGAAAUCGAAACCAUCCUGGUCAACGUGGUGAAACCCCGUCUCUACUAAAAAUACAAAAAAUUAGCUGGGCAUGGUGGUGUGUGCCUGUAAUCCCAGCUACUCGGGAGGCUGAGGCCGGAGAAUUGCCUGAACCCAGGAGGCGGAGGUUGCCGUGAGCCGAGAUCGCGCCAUUGCACUCCAGCCUUGGUAACGAGCGAAACUCCGUCUCAAAAAAAACAAACAAAAAAAACAAACACAAAAUUGCGGCUUACUAAGAAAUAAUAGAAUCUCAGCACAAUAGGCUUGGAAUACAUGUUUACUUUUCCAUCAAGGUUAGUUUUCUCAAGGCCUUGCUAACAAGGGAGAUUCAGCCUACAAUUGCAUAGACAGAAAGUUAUCUGUCCUUUUCCGUGACAUUUCAUUAUUCAAUAUUUGAACAGAUAGAAAUGCACAUGGAAUAAAUAUCAAAAGACACAAGCAGGGCUAUAUCAACAUGCUGGGGUCUCUUCAUCAGUAUCUGACAGCUUCUCAAUUCUAGUAUAAUAGAUAACUUUUAUUAUCAAUCCUCUCUGUUUUUCUUGAGAUAUAGUACACUUUUGCAAACACAUGCAUAAGUACUAUAAUAUUUAAUGCUUUUUAAGUAUCAUAGCUUAGAUAUAAUAUAUUAUCAGUAUGUAGAAAGCUCUGUCAUUUAUUUUAAAGGGAACAUACUAUUUCAUUGAAAGAAUCAACUUUAUUGUGUUCAUCGAUUUUUUUUUUUUUUUUGAGAUGGAGUCUUUCUCUGUUGCCCAGGCUAGAGUGCAGUGGAGCGAUUUCAGCUCACUGCAACCUCUGCCUGCCAGGUUCAAGCGAUUCUCCUUCCUCAGCCUCCUGAGUAGCUGGGAUUAUAGGCACAUGCCACCACACCCUGCUAAUAUAUUUUUUUUUUUUUGUAUUUUUAAUAGAGAUGGG
RNAcentral lists this long non-coding RNA (2438 nucleotides) under Callithrix jacchus (white-tufted-ear marmoset). RNAcentral describes it as "lncRNA (ENSCJAG00000076813.1)". The record is from RNAcentral. Lineage: Eukaryota; Metazoa; Chordata; Mammalia; Primates; Cebidae.